GAUGAACGCUGGCGGCGUGCCUAAUACAUGCAAGUCGAGCGAACAGACGAGGAGCUUGCUCCUCUGACGUUAGCGGCGGACGGGUGAGUAACACGUGGAUAACCUACCUAUAAGACUGGGAUAACUUCGGGAAACCGGAGCUAAUACCGGAUAAUAUAUUGAACCGCAUGGUUCAAUAGUGAAAGACGGUUUUGCUGUCACUUAUAGAUGGAUCCGCGCCGCAUUAGCUAGUUGGUAAGGUAACGGCUUACCAAGGCAACGAUGCGUAGCCGACCUGAGAGGGUGGGUGGCAACAGUAGAACUGCGAGCAGGGGCAGACGACGAUGGGAGGCAGAAGGAGGUGGUAGUCAAGAAGGGGCGAAAUAAUGAAGGAGCAAUGUCGCGGGAGUGAGGAAGGUUUGAGGAGUUUAAAACUUGGUUAUUAGGGAAGAACAGAUGGGUAAGGAAAUCUGCACAUCGGGAGGGGACAUAAUUAGAGAGACAAGGCUAAGUACGGG
This 497-nucleotide ribosomal RNA is filed under the name uncultured bacterium. RNAcentral's name for it is "partial 16S ribosomal RNA". It matches the Rfam family "Bacterial small subunit ribosomal RNA", at positions 28 to 507 of the family's 1533-position model. The record is from RNAcentral.